CGCGAGGCGGCCAGACUGAGGCGCGGCUUUGCUGUGCGGAGUCCGCCGGGCGCACCGGGCAGUCGUAGACACACCGGCUGGGGCGCCUCGUGGUUCGCUGGUCUCCGGGUGCGGUGGAGACCGGCUGGGACGCCUCCCCGCCAGCCUGAGUUCACACCUCUGUGGGGGAGCCGGGCGGGAAGGUGGCCACGAGACAUGAAACAACACGGUCCCAGAGAGCCCUAGGAGCGGAACGGGGAAAUUUAGAGGAAUGGGCCAAAGCGUGGGGACAAGGGAGGCGGGAAGUCCCGGAGGGGCUCUCUAUGCAGAUGACUUUAGAGUCCUGGACGGUAAGAGGAAGGCGGCCCGGGAAGAUCGGCAGGAAGGGUGUUCCGGAAGGAACCUCCUGCCUGGAGGGGUUGCCUGGAGCCAAAGGGCGCCCAUGGACUUUAACGCCAGGCUCCUCUGUCCAUGGGGAUUAUCCAGUGUUGCCUGAGAAGGAUUGAUCCACUCCCAAGACUUGAUCCACAAAACACUGAAGUGAGGCCCCAUGGGGACAUGGAGCCAGAAUGCCAGCCCAACUGUGUGUGACCUACAGCCCCGUGGUCUUCUGCUAUUACCUUGCUUCUCUACACGUCAUCUCUGGCCCCUGGGAAUUUACCUUGUGGACUCAGCAGAGGUUGAGAGAUCUUUAGAAGGAUGCUCUCUCUGCAGCACUGUUUAUAAUAGAAAGUGGAAAGCACCAAAGCCAGGUUAGAGAAUAGCUAAACAAAUCAUGGCCCACCUCACAGUAUUUAAAAAUGCUAAUUAUAAAGGUAAUGAAAACACAAGGAAAGGCCAAAGAUAAUACAGUAAUUUUUAAAAAGCCGCAUGCAAAAUGGUUUGUACGCUAUGAUUACAGUUGUGUCAAAAUACAGUCAUGUAGGGACUGUGAUAGAAUGUAGAAAUGAAAAUUCUUGUGUUGGGGAAUUCUUGAAAAUUCUUUUCUUGUUAAGGUGGUUUUUUUUACCAUGUUCAAAAUUGUACUUUACAGUUGUUGCUAAUUUGUUAUUCUAGUUAAAGCAUCAAUGUGUCGGAAUCCCUUCUCUUCCCGCCCAGAAAAUCUAGGUUAGGUCUGUCUGCCUCUGUAACUUUGCUGAGACAUCACAUACCUGAUUCAUGGAGUUGUCAGGAAGUGAUACACCUUCUUACAGUGCCCUGUACCUUGUCUUCCUGGCACUUGAAAUGGGAUAUGUUAUUGAACUUGUAGCGUGUACUUCACAUCCUCCACCACCAGCUACUCCCUUUAAGUAUGGUAAUUCCUUCCUCCUGAGACUUGGCCCGGUACUGGAGAACCAAGAAUCAAAAGCCUAAGGUCAAUAGCACUUUUGGACUUUUGGAAAAAUCUAAACUCAUUGAGGGGAAUGGAGCAGUAAGGAGAGAAGGAAGAAGGGCUGUGAGAAGCUAGGAGGAAUAUUCCCAGGCCACAUAACAGACAAGGAGUGUCCGCCUGCACUUGGAGAAACUAGACCUCAAAGCACUAAUAAAAACCACAAUGGCAAUGGAACUAACACAAAAUACUUAUCAUGAACCAGAAACGUAUCAUGGGAAAAAAUAAAUAAUAAAUGUA
Molecule: long non-coding RNA, 1588 nt
Organism: Dama dama (fallow deer)
Lineage: Eukaryota; Metazoa; Chordata; Mammalia; Artiodactyla; Cervidae
Exons: 3
Source: RefSeq, a predicted model, not a curated record